Molecule: ribosomal RNA, 354 nt
Filed under: Triticum aestivum (bread wheat)
Lineage: Eukaryota; Viridiplantae; Streptophyta; Magnoliopsida; Poales; Poaceae
Description: partial small subunit ribosomal RNA
Source: RNAcentral
AUGUUGAGGGACAUGCAGUUUCGGUCGGGUGUGGCGCUUGCAGUUGCAGGGCUGUUGUCAGGCUUGCAACUGGCCAGCCCCCUCCGACACAACAAAAAAGUCCAGUUGGGGUUGGUUAGAAGACAUGCAGUUGCGGUCGGCUGCUACACUUGCAGUUGCAUGCCUAAAGUCGGACAUGCAACUGGCCUGCCCUCUCUUCCGCCGCCCCCUCCGACAAAAGAAAGUCUAGUUGCAACCAUGUUCGCGGACAUGCAGUUGCGGUCGGGUGCGGCACUUGCAGUUACGGGGUUGUCGGGCUUGCAACUGCCCCCCCCCUCUAUCGGCGCCCCCUCCGGCAGAACAAAAAAAAUCUAG